GAUUUUCUGAAUGGAGCGUGGUAGCAUGUUAUAGAGUCCAAGGAAUUUGCCAAAUCCGUGUGAGAAGAUUUGCCUCUCACAUGUGAGAGAAUUUUUUGAGAAAAAAAAGAUCCUGACCCCGUCCCUCUGCCACCACCCGAGUGAGGAAGACUGACAGAGCACAUUGGCUUGCUGUGGAGACAAGAUCAGGGAAAGCGCCCCUGAAAAGAAAGCAUUUUGGAAGUCCUGAAGGUGGAGAAGGAGAUUUAGAGGAAGAGUGAUAAAUCAGAAGUCUUCGUCCAAGAAUUAGCUUUGCACCAUCUACAGACCUAAGCAGCUGCAGUCCUGGAACUGUGUGAUAACUUGCCCAGAAAAUCUUCUUGUGGAAUCUGUCUUUACAUGGAAAAGACUUGGCAAUAUUUGUACAGCAACUGGAAGAAAGGUCUUUGCUGAGAUAUACAAAGAGGCAGAAUGUGUGUGGAUCACCG
Molecule: long non-coding RNA, 467 nt
Filed under: Homo sapiens (human)
Lineage: Eukaryota; Metazoa; Chordata; Mammalia; Primates; Hominidae
Description: non-protein coding lnc-GRM7-7:1
Source: RNAcentral